RNAcentral lists this ribosomal RNA (392 nucleotides) under uncultured bacterium. Its description in RNAcentral is "bacterial SSU rRNA". It matches the Rfam family "Bacterial small subunit ribosomal RNA", at positions 28 to 411 of the family's 1533-position model. The record is from RNAcentral.
GACGAACGCUGGCGGCGUGCCUAACACAUGCAAGUCGAACGAGGUCCAUCUGGUGGCAACACCAGUGAAGACCUAGUGGCGAACGGGUGAGUAACACGUGAGGAACUUGCCCCGGAGACCGGGAUAACUCUUCGAAAGGAGAGCUAAUACCGGAUAUCUCCACCUGGUCGCAUGGCCGGGUGAAGAAAUGGAUUCCGCUCCGGGAGAGCCUCGCGGCCUAUCAGCUUGUGGUGGGGAACGCCACCAAGGCGUCGACGGGUAGCUGGUCUGAGAGGACGAUCAGCCACACUGGGACUGGAGACACGGCCCAGACUCCGUACGGGAGGCAGCAGGUGGGGAAUCUUGCGCAAGUGGGACGAAAGCCUGACGCAGCAACGCCGCGUGCGGGAUGG